UAUUAAAUUACACAUUAUAAAAAAUCAAUGAUAAGUUAAACUCUUUAAAAAGAAACAUUUUUUAAAAGGCACAUACUAAAAUACUGCAUACUGAUCAAAUCCAACAUAACCAUUUCACACAGUGCAGCACUACAUUGCAGUGUACAGCACGCUCUUGGGAUAAUUUGGUUUUGAUGUCUAAGAUAAAGCAUGUUUUUUCUAACUUUGAAAACAUACAAAAUAAUUUAAAAAUUACUUUUCAUAUAAACAUUAAAAUACAUUGGAAUGAAAAAGGUCAUAUUAUAUACUAGGAGAUAAUUAAAAUAUCCAAGCUCUCUCUCUCUUUU
Pipistrellus kuhlii (Kuhl's pipistrelle) is the source of this 326-nucleotide long non-coding RNA. RefSeq lists it as uncharacterized. NCBI's taxonomy places the organism in Eukaryota, Metazoa, Chordata, Mammalia, Chiroptera, Vespertilionidae. The transcript is spliced from 2 exons. The record is from RefSeq and is a predicted model, not a curated record.